CCUACGGGCGGCAGCAGUGGGGAAUAUUGCACAAUGGGCGCAAGCCUGAUGCAGCCAUGCCGCGUGUGUGAAGAAGGCCUUCGGGUUGUAAAGCACUUUCAGCGGGGAGGAAGGCGGUGAGGUUAAUAACCUCAUCGAUUGACGUUACCCGCAGAAGAAGCACCGGCUAACUCCGUGCCAGCAGCCGCGGUAAUACGGAGGGUGCAAGCGUUAAUCGGAAUUACUGGGCGUAAAGCGCACGCAGGCGGUCUGUCAAGUCGGAUGUGAAAUCCCCGGGCUCAACCUGGGAACUGCAUUCGAAACUGGCAGGCUAGAGUCUUGUAGAGGGGGGGAGAAUUCCAGGGGUAGCGGUGAAAUGCGUAGAGAUCUGGAGGAAUACCGGUGGCGAAGGCGGCCCCCUGGACAAAGACUGACGCUCAGGUGCGAAAGCGGGGGGAGCAAACAGGAUUAGAUACCCGUGUAGUC
Molecule: ribosomal RNA, 465 nt
Filed under: uncultured Klebsiella sp.
Lineage: Bacteria; Pseudomonadati; Pseudomonadota; Gammaproteobacteria; Enterobacterales; Enterobacteriaceae
Description: bacterial SSU rRNA
Rfam family: Bacterial small subunit ribosomal RNA
Source: RNAcentral